AGUGAACGCUGGCGGUAGGCCUAACACAUGCAAGUCGAACGGCAGCACAGUAAGAGCUUGCUCUUACGGGUGGCGAGUGGCGGACGGGUGAGGAAUACAUCGGAAUCUACUUUUUCGUGGGGGAUAACGUAGGGAAACUUACGCUAAUACCGCAUACGACCUACGGGUGAAAGCAGUGGAUCUUCGGACCUUGCGCGAUUGAAUGAGCCGAUGUCGGAUUAGCUAGUUGGCGGGGUAAAGGCCCACCAAGGCGACGAGGCGUAGCUGAUCUGAGAGGAUGAUAGGCGACAAGGGAACUGAGACACGGUCGAGAAUCCGACGGGAGGCAGAAGUGGGGAAUGGGACGAAAGGGGCGAGAGCCUGACGGAGUAAGGACGCGUGAGUGAAGAAGGUGUUCGGAUCGUAAAACUCUGUGAUUAGGGAAGAAAAAAGGUGUAAGUAACUAUGCACGUCGUGACGGUACCUAAGCAGAAAGCAACGGCUAACUACGU
RNAcentral lists this ribosomal RNA (491 nucleotides) under uncultured bacterium. RNAcentral describes it as "partial 16S ribosomal RNA". It matches the Rfam family "Bacterial small subunit ribosomal RNA", at positions 30 to 506 of the family's 1533-position model. The record is from RNAcentral.